RNAcentral lists this ribosomal RNA (407 nucleotides) under uncultured prokaryote. RNAcentral describes it as "bacterial SSU rRNA". It matches the Rfam family "Bacterial small subunit ribosomal RNA", at positions 355 to 776 of the family's 1533-position model. The record is from RNAcentral. RNAcentral also lists the same sequence under 1 other name.
UGAAGAAUAUUGGGCAAUGGGCGAAAGCCUGACCCAGCAACGCCGCGUGAAUGAAGAAGGUCUUCGGAUUGUAAACUUCUGUCCCAUGGGAAGAAAAAAAUGACGGUACCAUGGGAGGAAGCCCCGGCUAACUACGUGCCAGCAGCCGCGGUAAUACGUAGGGGGCAAGCGUUGUCCGGAAUUAUUGUGCGUAAAGGGUGCGUAGGCGGCCUUUCAAGUUGGAUGUGAAAUCCCCAUGCUUAACAUGGGAAUUGCAUUCAAAACUGGAGGGCUUGAGUGUGGAAGAGGUAAGUGGAAUUCCCAGUGUAGCGGUGAAAUGCGUAGAUAUUGGGAGGAACACCAGUGGCGAAGGUGACUUACUGGGCCACAACUGACGCUGAUGCACGAAAGCGUGGGGAGCGAACAGG